GGGGACGAUCGGUUUCGACGAUCUGAGUUGAGCAUGGGGAAGCGGGCCGAGGAUGUAGAGUGCCCUCGCUAAAACCCCUCUGCACACCAAUAAGUGCCGAUUCUAAGCGCACUGACUUCGCCCUCGCUGCCUGAUAGCAGCGACCGCGAGUCUGUCAGCCUGAGCUUGCUAUCGGCUCAGCAGCUGGCAUCAGCUAGAUAGCCACUGGAGCGCCGCCUUCGUCGUGGGGGCGUCGCUCGACGAUCACACGACUGGGCCCGGGUCAGCCACUUGUCUGCAAGAUGGCUGGGGCCGAGCAACGCCCGAUGCGCAGACUGCGCCCGGAGAAGUCCAUGUGAUGCCAGAUCGGACGCGGGUUCGAUUCCCGCCGUCUCCACCA
Molecule: non-coding RNA, 379 nt
Organism: Nesterenkonia sp. PF2B19
Lineage: Bacteria; Bacillati; Actinomycetota; Actinomycetes; Micrococcales; Micrococcaceae
Source: Rfam